UACAGAGGGUGCGAGCGUUGUCCGGAAUUACUGGGCGUAAAGGGCGCGUAGGCGGCCUUCUAAGUCGGACGUGAAAUCCCUCGGCUUAACCGAGGAACUGCGUCCGAUACUGAAAGGCUUGAAUCCGGGAGAGGGAUGUGGAGUUCCAGGUGUAGCGGUGAAAUGCGCAGAUAUCAGGAAGAACACCAAUGGCGAAAGCAGCUCUCUGGGACAGUACUGACGCUGAGACGCGAAAGCGUGGGGAGCGAACAGG
Molecule: ribosomal RNA, 253 nt
Filed under: uncultured bacterium
Lineage: Bacteria
Description: partial 16S ribosomal RNA
Rfam family: Bacterial small subunit ribosomal RNA
Source: RNAcentral